AACGAACGCUGGCGGCAUGCUUAACACAUGCAAGUCGAACGAGACCUUCGGGUCUAGUGGCGCACGGGUGCGUAACGCGUGGGAACCUGCCCUUAGGUUCGGAAUAACUCCCCGUAAGGGGUGCUAAUACCGGAUAAUGUCUUCGGACCAAAGAUUUAUCGCCUUUGGAUGGGCCCGCGUUGGAUUAGCUAGUUGGUAGGGUAAAAGCCUACCAAGGCGACGAUCCAUAGCUGGUCUGAGAGGAUGAUCAGCCACACUGGCACUGAGACACGGCCCAGACUCCUACGGGAGGCAGCAGUGGGGAAUAUUGGACAAUGGGCGAAAGCCUGAUCCAGCAAUGCCGCGUGAGUGAUGAAGGCCUUAGGGUUGUAAAGCUCUUUUACCCGGGAUGAUAAUGACAGUACCGGGAGAAUAAGCACCGGCUAACUCCGUG
Molecule: ribosomal RNA, 433 nt
Filed under: uncultured bacterium
Lineage: Bacteria
Description: partial 16S ribosomal RNA
Rfam family: Bacterial small subunit ribosomal RNA
Source: RNAcentral